This 406-nucleotide ribosomal RNA is filed under the name uncultured bacterium. Its description in RNAcentral is "partial 16S ribosomal RNA". It matches the Rfam family "Bacterial small subunit ribosomal RNA", at positions 30 to 526 of the family's 1533-position model. The record is from RNAcentral.
AUUGAACGCUGGCGGCAGGCCUAACACAUGCAAGUCGAGCGAGUGGCGGACGGGUGAGUAAUGUAUGGGGAACUGCCUGAUGGAGGGGGAUAACUACUUGAAACGGUAGCUAAUACCGCAUACCAUCGGAUGUGCCCAGAUGGGAUUAGCUCGUUGGUGGGGUAACGGCUCACCAAGGCGACGAUCCCUAGCUGGUCUGAGAGGAUGACCAGCCACACUGGGACUGAGACACGGUCCAGACGCCUACGGGAGGCAGCAGUGGGGAAUAUUGCACAAUGGGCGCAAGCCUGAUGCAGCCAUGCCGCGUGUAUGAAGAAGGCCUUCGGGUUGUAAAGUACUGUCAGCGGGGAGGCGUUACCCGCAGAAGAAGCACCGGCUAACUCCGUGCCAGCAGCCGCGGUAAUAC